This 450-nucleotide ribosomal RNA is filed under the name uncultured bacterium. Its description in RNAcentral is "partial 16S ribosomal RNA". It matches the Rfam family "Bacterial small subunit ribosomal RNA", at positions 354 to 796 of the family's 1533-position model. The record is from RNAcentral.
GUGGGGAAUUUUGGACAAUGGGCGCAAGCCUGAUCCAGCAAUGCCGCGUGCAGGAAGAAGGCCUUCGGGUUGUAAACUGCUUUUGUACGGAACGAAACGGUCCUGGUUAAUACCCGGGGCUAAUGACGGUACCGUAAGAAUAAGCACCGGCUAACUACGUGCCAGCAGCCGCGGUAAUACGUAGGGUGCAAGCGUUCAUCGGAAUUACUGGGCGUAAAGCGUGCGCAGGCGGUGCUGUAAGACAGGCGUGAAAUCCCCGGGCUUAACCUGGGAAUUGCGCUUGUGACUGCAGGGCUGGAGGGCGGCAGAGGGGGAUGGAAUUCCGCGUGUAGCAGUGAAAUGCGUAGAUAUGCGGAGGAACACCGAUGGCGAAGGCAAUCCCCUGGGCCUGCACUGACGCUCAUGCACGAAAGCGUGGGGAGCAAACAGGAUUAGAUACCCCAGUAGUCC